This is a long non-coding RNA of Chiroxiphia lanceolata (lance-tailed manakin), 301 nucleotides long. RefSeq lists it as uncharacterized. The transcript is spliced from 3 exons. NCBI's taxonomy places the organism in Eukaryota, Metazoa, Chordata, Aves, Passeriformes, Pipridae. The record is from RefSeq and is a predicted model, not a curated record.
CGGGCGUUGUUGCGGGGUGCGCGCGGCGGGAGCGAGGGGAGGCUGUGAGGGAGGCGGCGGGCAGCGUGCGGGACAUGUCGGCCCGGACGGCCCUCGGCAGCGCGCAGUAUUUGUCCCGGCGCAUCCCCCAGAACCCCAAAUACCAACACGUAAAAACCCGUUUGGACACUGGCAACAGUUUGUCCAAAUACAUGGAGAAGCUGGAGGAGAUUAAGAGAAGUGAGUAUUGGGGAGGAGAAAAAUGGGUGAAAAACGGGUUAUUUCCAAUAUCAAGGAGCAGGGGGGGGGGGGAAUCCCAGGA